RNAcentral lists this ribosomal RNA (253 nucleotides) under uncultured bacterium. RNAcentral describes it as "partial 16S ribosomal RNA". It matches the Rfam family "Bacterial small subunit ribosomal RNA", at positions 524 to 776 of the family's 1533-position model. The record is from RNAcentral.
UACGGGGGGGGCAAGCGUUGUUCGGAAUUACUGGGCGUAAAGGGCUCGUAGGCGGCCAACUAAGUCAGACGUGAAAUCCCUCGGCUUAACCGGGGAACUGCAUCUGAUACUGGAUGGCUUGAGUUUGGGAGAGGGAUGCGGAAUUCCAGGUGUAGCGGUGAAAUGCGUAGAUAUCUGGAGGAACACCGGUGGCGAAGGCGGCAUCCUGGACCAACACUGACACUGAAAAGCGAAAGCCAGGGGAGCAAACGGG